UGCCAAGGUGAUCACUGGAAGGCACACUGCCCCAGAGGACAAAGGUUCUCUGGGCCAGAAGCUCCCAAUCAGAUGAUCCAACGACAGGACUGAGGGUUCCCGAGCUCAUGUCAUCACCCUCACUGAGCCGUGGGAUCAAGGCCAUCAAGCUACAGAUGUUCCUACGAAUGGAACCCCAAAUGAGCUCAACUCACAACUUCUACCAAGAACCCCUGGACCAACCCACUGGCCCUUUGACUGGCCUAGAGAGUUCCCCUCUGGAGGACACUACAACUGCAGGGCCCCUUCUUCAUCCCUAUCCAGCAGAAAGUAGCUAGAGCAGUCAUCACCCAAUUCCCAACAGCAGUUGGGGUGUCCUGUUUAGAGGGGGGAUUGAGAGGUGAAGCCAGCUGGACUUCCUGGGUCAAGUGGGGGCUUGGAGAUCUUUUCUGUCUUAGAAGGAGAUUGUAAAAGUCACCAAUCAGUGCUCUGUAAAAAUGCACCAAUCAGUGCUCUGUAACUAGCAAGAGAAUUGAAAAAUGCACAAUCAGCGCUCUGUAAAAUGCACCAAACAUCAGGAUCCCAAAAGUAGCCAAUCUCAGGGAGGAUUGAAAAAAGGGCACUCUGACAGGACAAAAACAGAACAUAGGAGGGGACAAAUAAGGGAAUAAAAGCUGGCUACCCCAGCCAGCAGAGGCAACCUGCUUGCAUCCCCUUCCACACUGUGGAAGCUUUGUUCUUUCGCUCUUCACAAUAAACCUUGCUACUGCUCACUCUUUGGGCCCGUGCCACCUUUAAGAGCUGUAACACUCACUGCAAAGGUCUGCGGCUUCAUUCUUCAUUCACUGGAAGCAACCAACUUGGGACACACCACCAUGCCUGGUUAAUUUUUUGUAUUUUCAGUAGAGGUGGGGUUUCACUGUGUUAGCCAGGAUUGUCUUGAUCUCCUGACCUCAUGAUCUGCCUGCCUCUGCCUCCCAAAGUGCUGGGAUUACAGGCGUGAGCCGCUAUGCCCGGUGAACACAUACAUUUUCAACAGAAGAGCAAGAGAGCAUAGAACCCAGAAUAGCAGAGGCAUAUAGGCCCCGUUUUGCAGGAGUCAAAUAACUUAAUUCUUAGCACAAUCCUGUAAGAUGAAUUCUGUUAUAAUCCCACUCUCUAGAUAAAGAAUUCAAGGCACCAAGAGUUUAGUUCAUGAGCAGUAAGAGAUUUGGGCCCAAGUGGUUUUGUGUCAAAGCUUAUGCUUGGCAUAAUUUUUUGAUAGAGAGCCAGAUGGUAAAUAUUUUGGAAUAUUAGUGUUCAAAUAGUCUGUGUCACAACUAGUGCCUCUGCUGUUGUAACAUAAAAGCAGCCAUAGCCAAUGUAUAAAAGAAUAGCUGUCAACUUAAAUGCCCAUCAAUGAUAGAUUGGAUAAAGACGAUGUGGUACAUAUACACUAUGGCAUACUAUGCAGCCAUGAAAAACAAUGAGAUCAUAUCCUGUGCAGGAACAUGGAUGGAACUGGAGGUCCUUAUCCUUAGCAAACAAACACAAGAACAGAAAACCAAAUAUUGCAUGUUUUCACUUAUAAGCAGGAGCUAAAUGAUGAGAACACAUGGAUACAUAGAGGGGAACAGCACACACUUGGGCCUAUUGGAGGGUGGAGGGUGGGAGUGGGGAGAGGAUCAGGAAAAAUAACUAAUGGGUAGUAAGCUUAGUACCUGGGUGAUAAAAUAAUCUGUAUAACAAACCCCUAUGACACAUGUAUACCUAUGUAACAAAGUGGCACAUGUAACCCUGAACUUAAAAGUUAAGAAAAAAGAAUGGGUUAUGUAUGUGUUCUAAUAAAACUUUACUUGUAAAAACUGGUGAAGGCCAGAAUCUGGGUUGUCACAUGGGGCAGGAAGAGAUGAGGACUGAGGAAAAGAGGAAGAAGUCAAGACAGAGGAAUAAGGGAGGAAUGCAAAUAAGUUCCAAAGAUAUAUUUCAAGCAUUUUUAGUAUUUUUUUCUUAAUUUGCUCCUCCAGCAACAAUUUAUGUUUAUUUAUUUAUUUUUAGACUAGUCAAGUGGAGUAGUGGAAGAAGGGAAAGAGUAGAACAAGGAGGUUGAUCUGUAACUGACUGUGAACAGUCGAUUGAGAUAACUCGCUACCUUAGGACCAGCCCAGCAGGAAUUUUUUAACUGGGCAGGAUGGUGAUAGGGGAGGUGUAUUUUGUCAAUCUUUAGCAUCAUAAGCUCAGAGAAAACAUUUCUGUAGAGAUGUAAAUGGCCCCAAAGAAUGAAGAUGUUGGAAUUUGGAACCAUUUCAAGCCAAUGGAUAGUGAUUUCUAUUUUCAGGUUUUUUGUUUUGUUUUGUUUUUUGAGACACAGCCUUGCUCUGUUACCCAGGCUGGAGUGCAGUGGUGUGAUCUUGGCUCACUGCAACCUCCGCAUCCUGGGUUCAAAAGAUUCUCAUUCCUCAACCUCCCAAGUAGCUGGGAUUACAGGCGUGUGCCACUGCACCUGGCUAAUUUUUUUUGUAUUUUUGGUAGAGACGGGGUUUCAUUAUGUUGGCCAGGCUGGUCUCAAACUCCUGGCCUCAGGUGAUCUGCCCGCCUCGGCCUCCCGAAGUGCUGGGAUUAGAGAUGUGAGCCACCACUCCUGGCUGUUUUGCCUUUUAAAUAAUCAACAAUGAUUUAAUAGUCAAUUGGUGAAUCCUUCCUCAAUCCCUGGCUGAAAGGCGGGUGACUACUGUCUCUCUCCCAACCCUCUUUUGCAUUUGCAAAACUGUGGCAGGGAAGAGGCUUGGGAAGUAAGCUCAUUUGCCUCCUUGCCACUGGAUUAGCAAGCAAUGUCUCCUUCUUCCCUGUGACAAUAUCGGGUAGAUUGGAGGCAAGUGUAAUAGGCACAUUUCCGGAGGAGAAAGCUGUGACCCAUCCAGUUUGGAUAAAUGCCCUGUGGUUGGCGGGUCCAAAGCUCACAGGCAGAGCCUGAUAUUUUAAACCCAAAUUCCUAAAUAUAUUGGUCCUUUGGCCAAAGCUGACCCUUAUAUGUAUUUAGUUUGGCCUGAAAAACAUUUUUAUAAAAGAAAAUUCAGCUGUUUAUAUAUUUUUAAAGAUUUCACUUAAAAGGCUAGAUUUCUGUUGACAAAUCAGGAGAGUUGGCAUUCUGGAUGUUAGAGCCAUUACCCCCAAGGCGAGGCUGGUGAUGAAAUAUGAGGAGUGGGAAGCCGGUGGGGCUCAGGGCUUGUUUUCUAGGCUGCUUCUUUUAGAAACUGCUCUCAUGUGUUUACUUAGUCCAAACACUCCAUCAAGAAACAAGGUGGCCCAGAUUAGAACAGUGUGCUUGCAGCUUCUUGGUUGCUAACAUUGCCACAAAACAAAUUACAGCAACAAAAAUUUCCUUUUAUAAUAGCACAUCCAUAACUGGUAUUGCAGAGAGUCUAUAACGAGAGACAUGGUAUAAAUACCCUGGGGCCAUGGAAGAGAUAGAUGAAGAAGAAAAGAAAAAAAGCUUUCUAAACACUAUCAUAAAUAAGUGAUUUUUGUUGUUGUGUUGUUGUUUCACUUUGACUUUAGAAAUAGUGAUCAGCUCAUGAAAUCAAGCAUUUUUGAGACAAUGAAUCUCUCAGCAUGGGGGCUAAUGAGAGAACAGAUAACUGCCUGGGGCUGAAUAUCUGAUUUUUCAGGGAGAAGAAAAGCUGAAAUGAGGGGAUAAAGUGCUUAUUCUGUUGUGUAAACAGAAAGUGAAUUAGAGAGGAACAUGUUUAUAUCCUAUAAAGUCUAACAGCCACUUAAGUGGAUGGUAUUAUUUGAGAAGACAGAGUUUGCUGCUAAUGGCCACUCUGCUCAUCUCCCAGCUUGGCAGCUGCUUAGGCUUAAAAAGCUAUGAAAGAACUGGAACAGAGUCCUGCUUAGUGAGUGGACUGAGCACGGGGGGUGAUUCUGAUGCUCUGUGAGAGACAGCAGGUGAUUGGGAAUAGCCCAUGGUUAGAAAUCGAGUAUAUAGGAAUUGAUGAUAGUAGCUAAUGUUUUUCCAAGAGCUGAUGACAUACCAGAGACUACUCCAAACAACAUUUUGCAAGAAUCAAUUAAUUUUUAAAACAGUCCUACUGAUGCAGGAUUUUUCUUGGCCCCUUUGCUGGACUCGUUGCAGGGGGCACCCCAUCUGCUCAGCCUGCCAUGCUCAGCCCCUGGUGGGAGGGAGCACACAAGGGAGUGAGCGCAGGGUCUGGCAGGCUGUCCGGAGUGCUGACACAGGAGCAAACUACAUGUAAGGCCCGUGGCCAGACAGGGCAUAUCACCCCCAGGGGAAGGUGGCAGGGCCCAGGCAGGGGUGCUCAUGACCCGGAAGCCCCAGAGGGGGUGUUACAGUGUGCUAAUGAGCACUUUUAGUUCCACCGCCUUCCUGCAGCUCGACAAAUGGUGGUGUGUUAGCCCCUCAGCCAGCCUCUUGCCCUGCUCUGACCCGUGGCUCUGGGACUGGUGUGGCUCCAGGGCCGGCUACCUCCCCCCAUGGCUGCUUCUGUUGCAUGGGGCAGCUGCCCUCCACUGGUGAGGGCAAAGGGCCAGUGUUACAGCCUUUCUGGGUACCCACGUUCACUGAGUCCCAAGCUCUUGUCCAGCAUCCAAGAAGAAUGAAGUCAUGCUGACAAUUGAAGGGUAGUAAAGGUGGAGAAUUUUCUUGAGUAAUGAAACAGCUCUCAGCAGAGAGGGAACAGGAAGGUUGGGUCAUCUCUCCUGAAGUCAGUUCAUCUCUCUCAGUGUGUCUGAGUCUGGGGCUUUUAUAGGCACGGGAUAGGGGAGUGUGUGCUAACUGGUUUGCGAGUAUGCAAAAAAGGUUAAAGCCACCAGUCAGAGGUGGACAGAGUGUAAAGGCAGUUAGUGUAGAUAUAUGUGAAAUAGGUGAAGGGUGGGGAUCCAUCCAAGGAAAGCACACCAAACAGGAAGACGGGUUCUCAAUCCAGUCUGUGGAUUUGACUUGUAGCUUGACCUUCAGGCUUUAAACUGUCUUUGGCUUGAAGAUGGGGUUUCACCAGGAACCCAUCCCUGUCGGCCUAGGAUUUCUCUGCCUCCUGCCUCUGUCACUACAAGGUGAAUUCUGUAAUAAUCCCAUGCUCUAGAGAAAGAAUUCAAGGCACACAAAGUUUAUGCCAUGAGUUUUAAGAGAUUGGGGCUUAAGCAGUUUGGUAUCAAUGCUUACGCUUGGCAUAAUUUUUUAGUGGAGGGCCAGAAAGUAAUUUUAGAGUAUUACUGACCAGAUGGUCUCUCUCACAACUAUCACCUCUGCUAUUGUAGCAUAGAAGCAGCCAACGUGUAAAGAAAUGGAUGUGAAUGUUUUCUAAUAAAACUUUAUUUGUAAAAACUGAUGGGAGCCAGGAGCUGGUCUGUGUACCUUAGCUUGCUAGCACCUCUUCUAAACCUGCUCUGCUCUGCCUGUCAGGAGCAUGCUAUUCCAGGAAAAGUGGCUGCAAUGAUGGGCUCCUGGGCCUUCAGGAACUUGUCCUAUAUCCUGCUGUGAUGUCUCUCUGUCCAUUGCUCUGUCUUUGGCCUUGAUUCUUAAACUAGAAACGGAAGCUAACAUAUGCCACUUUUCCUCAAUUUUUUUCUGAAGUUGUUGUCUUUUUACAGGAUUUCUAGUGAGGAGAGGUCAGUGAAUACACGAGGAAAGAUCUCUUUGACAGCACAUAGUUAGAUGAACUUGGCUUGUAGGAAUUGUCUGAUGAGGGGGAGGUAAAAGAUUAUAUUUGUAUUUCUAAAGGGAUAAGUAGGAAACUGGGAAAAGGGAAGGAGGAGAAAAGAAGAUAAAAUAAUAAAACAACUAUCUCCUAGUAAAUUAGGGGUUCUCGGUUACAAAAUGAACUAGGUUUGUUUCAAUCUGUAGCUCAAACCAGUGUUUCCCAAGCUGUUUCUGCACAGUGGAAUUACCAAGAGCUCUUAAAACAUGCCUAUUCCUGGCUCCCACCCUCUGACAUUCUGGCUUAAUUGCUAGGACCUGAACCUGGUCAUUGGGCGAUUUAGAAGGUCUCCCAGGUGAUUCUAAUCUGCAGCACAGUUGAGGAACCACUGACGUAGACUCUUCAUCUUAUAACAGCCUGUCAGGGGCUUGUGGUUUCUGCUUUGGAGAAGGCAGGGUGAAGGGAAGAGACAAUAUCUUUGCCUUCUGAGUUUUGAGCAGUUCUAGCGCCCGGUAAACAGCACCCUAGUAACCUGGCGAAUAGACAGAUUGGUGAGUGAAUAGGUGGAUGUGUCACAGGCAUUUGAACCAGAGCGACUCCAUCUUGAACAGGAGCUGGGUAAAAUGAGGCUGAGACUGGCUGGGCUGCAUUCCUAGGAGGUGAGGCAUUCUAAGUCACAGGAUGAGAUAGGAGGUUGGCACAAGGUACAUGUCAUAAAGACCUUGCUGAUAAAACAGUUUGCAUUAAAGAAGCCAGCCAAAUCCCACCAAAACCAAGAUGGCAAUGAUGUGACCUCUGUUUGUCCUCACUGCUCAUUAUAGGCUAAUUAUAAUACACUAGCAUGCUAAAAGACACUCCCACCAGCACCAUGACAGUUUACAAAUGCCAUGGCAACAUCAGGAAGUUCCCCUAUAUGGUCUAAAAAGGGGAGGAACCUUCAGUUCUGGGAAUUGUCCACCCCUUUCCCGGAAAACUCAUGAAUAAUACACUGCUGAUAUCAUGGCAUAAAUCAGAGGAAAGUAAAUAGACCAAGAUGAUCUUUAUAAAACUCCUGCAAGUGUUAAGUGUGAUUGAACAACAGCAUAACACUUUCCUAACCGAUUCCCACAGGUGCAUGCAUUGAGCUGAGGGCUGGGAGAGCACUUUGUUGGGAGCCCCAGUUAAGGGAUUCGUGGUACUCAUGAGGAGCAGAGAUGCAUGAGUCUCCUCGCUGACUUUUCAGGUCCUCUCGCCGUUGUCUGACUCCAUCCUGGCUGAGAAGACGGUGAUUGUCCUGGAUGACCGAGUCGCCAUCGUGGAGCUGGGAGUGCAGCUCGUAGCUGGCAUGUCUCUCUCCCUGCAGCCACACCGAGCAGACAAAAGGGCCAUCGUCUCCACAGCCGCUGCCCUGGAUGUUCUUCUGUCCCCACAGCAGGGGGAAGAAUUGAUAUAUCUGAACUGGAAAAUAAUUUUCAUAUGCUCAGUUUGCUAAUAUAGUUUGGAGAUUUUUUUAAGGCCACUUACCAAAAAAAAGGUAAUUUUAUGUUUUUCUUAUGAGAUAUUCCAAAAUACUGUGGCAUUAGAAAGUUGUGAUUUUCACUGGAAACAGAAAGAAAUAAGCCAGAUUUCCCCACCUCCAUAAAUCAAUUCCAGAUCCCAAUGGUUUUGACUGCAUUUAUCAGUCUUUCUUUAUUGAAACUCUCUGUCUCACAUGUCUAGCCCAGAGCUCAAAAUGCUGAAUAGAAGGAAGGGAGAGGUCUGUGCACUUUGCUGAGUUUGUGCCAUGGAAGAAAUCUAUACUCACACAUGCAUGGAAAAGCGUCAAUAUUUGCAGUGGCAAAGAACUAGUAGUUAUGCUAAGGUCAAUUUCAUGCCAAAACAAUAAGAAAUAUUCUAUAUUUUAUUAAUUUUUUUAAAAACUUGUAGGGCCUCUGGGAAUCCUACAUGGGAACCCAGAAUAUAUUCUGUCUAUGUAUUUCAGGUUCUGGAACUUCAGCUUUAGAAAAUCAGUUUCAUUGGAAACCCUCUUCCAGUGUGACCUUGUGUUAUUGCCAACUAAAAAAUACUCAAGUAGAGGAUUUCCAAGACUAAGUUAUAUUUUUUCCUACAACAAGAUACCUAAAGCCACACAUCCAUGUGUUUGGUUCAGAAACUCUCCAGUGUCUUCCAACACCCAGGCUUUUUCCAUCCCCCUGUUCCAGUUUCUUCUGACUACUGGCUUGGUCCUUAUAUUGCCACCUCAUGCCCUAAAAUGGCUACCAGAGCUCCUAGCAUCAGACAACCAUACAACUGUAUUCACACAACCAUGGUCAAAAGAAGGACAAAGUCAGGUUUCUACAUGUGCAUCUCACUAAUUACGGAAGAAUCCCCUUACAGAUGUGCCCGUUGAGAUGUCCUCACAGGUAUCUUUGACCAGGAUUUAGUUACACGUCUUUGACAAAGGAGUUUGGAAAUCCUCUCAAGUCUGUGAGUUGUAUCAGAAAAAAAAAAAAAGGGAAAACAACUGAGAAGAGGCAAAGAAAGAGCUUUCUACAUAUACCUAGACCUGAUUAAACUUUCCUUUGAUCUCUAAAACCACUUUGCGGUUCAUAAAUCUUAUUAACUCAAAUGCCCUUCAUUUGAAAUUUAUGAUAAUUUGGACAAGGACAAGGUAUAAAUUAAGAAAAUAUCUGGUAAGCGAAUAAAAUAUUUCAAAAUUAAUAGUAUCAAAUGAUAGAAGUACAGAAGUACUACCAGCCCUUGCAAGGGAUAAAUAAAC
Molecule: long non-coding RNA, 8352 nt
Organism: Homo sapiens (human)
Lineage: Eukaryota; Metazoa; Chordata; Mammalia; Primates; Hominidae
Exons: 3
Source: RefSeq, a predicted model, not a curated record